RNAcentral lists this ribosomal RNA (494 nucleotides) under uncultured bacterium. RNAcentral describes it as "partial 16S ribosomal RNA". It matches the Rfam family "Bacterial small subunit ribosomal RNA", at positions 28 to 507 of the family's 1533-position model. The record is from RNAcentral.
GACGAACGCUAAAAGCGUGCUUAACACAUGCAAGUCGAACGGUGAAGCGCCUUCCUUAUUGGUGGGUGAGAAUGAGUGGCGAACGGGUGAGUAACACGUGAGUAACCUGCUCCCUUCUUCUGGAUAACCGCAUGAAAGUGUGGCUAAUACGGGAUAUUCUGGGUCUGUCGCAUGAUGGGUCUGGGACAGAUUUUGUUUCGGUGGGGGAUGGGCCCGCGGCCUAUCAGCUUGUUGGUGGGGUGAUGGCCUACCAAGGCGGUGAUGGGUAGCCGGCCUGAGAGGGUGGGCCGCCAGGGAAGGGAUACAAGCCCAACCCGACUACGGCGGGAAGCAGCAGGGAGGAAUCUGCAACGAGGGGAGGCCGGCCGGAGCAACGCCGCCGGGGUGAGGAUGGUCGUCUUAGGGUUAAACACCGCUUUCGGCAAUGAAGCAAGGCUGACUCGAUUGUGGGUGGGUUGACGGUAGCUGGAUAAGAAGCGCCGGCUAACUACGUG